This 166-nucleotide small nuclear RNA is filed under the name Haemaphysalis longicornis (longhorned tick). RNAcentral describes it as "U1 spliceosomal RNA". It matches the Rfam family "U1 spliceosomal RNA". From Rfam's summary of the family: U1 is a small nuclear RNA (snRNA) component of the spliceosome (involved in pre-mRNA splicing). Lineage: Eukaryota; Metazoa; Arthropoda; Arachnida; Ixodida; Ixodidae. The record is from Rfam by way of RNAcentral.
AUGCUUACCUGGUGACGGAACUUCGCUGAUCCGGACGGCCGGGCUCCCAGGGUGAGGCACGUGCAUUGCACUGCGCUCGUGUUGACCCCUGCCCCUUCCCCAAACUGGGGUAGAUGGGGCAUGCAGUUUUUCGUAAGGGGGGGGACUGCGCGCGCGCUUUCCCCCC